This 740-nucleotide ribosomal RNA is filed under the name Lentzea albida. RNAcentral describes it as "bacterial SSU rRNA". It matches the Rfam family "Bacterial small subunit ribosomal RNA", at positions 158 to 911 of the family's 1533-position model. The record is from RNAcentral. Lineage: Bacteria; Bacillati; Actinomycetota; Actinomycetes; Pseudonocardiales; Pseudonocardiaceae.
GAGGUCUAAUACCGGAUAUGACACUGGAUCGCAUGAUUCGGUGUGGAAAGUUCCGGCGGUAUGGGAUGGACCCGCGGCCUAUCAGCUUGUUGGUGGGGUAAUGGCCUACCAAGGCGACGACGGGUAGCCGGCCUGAGAGGGUGACCGGCCACACUGGGACUGAGACACGGCCCAGACUCCUACGGGAGGCAGCAGUGGGGAAUAUUGCACAAUGGGCGAAAGCCUGAUGCAGCGACGCCGCGUGAGGGAUGACGGCCUUCGGGUUGUAAACCUCUUUCAGCAGGGACGAAGCGCAAGUGACGGUACCUGCAGAAGAAGCACCGGCUAACUACGUGCCAGCAGCCGCGGUAAUACGUAGGGUGCGAGCGUUGUCCGGAAUUAUUGGGCGUAAAGAGCUCGUAGGCGGUUUGUCGCGUCGGCCGUGAAAACUUGGGGCUUAACUCCAAGCUUGCGGUCGAUACGGGCAGACUUGAGUUCGGCAGGGGAGACUGGAAUUCCUGGUGUAGCGGUGAAAUGCGCAGAUAUCAGGAGGAACACCGGUGGCGAAGGCGGGUCUCUGGGCCGACACUGACGCUGAGGAGCGAAAGCGUGGGGAGCGAACAGGAUUAGAUACCCUGGUAGUCCACGCCGUAAACGGUGGGUGCUAGGUGUGGGGGGCUUCCACGCCCUCUGUGCCGCAGCUAACGCAUUAAGCACCCCGCCUGGGGAGUACGGCCGCAAGGCUAAAACUCAAAGGAAUU